GGGGGGAGCAAGCGUUGUUCGGAUUUACUGGGCGUAAAGGGCGCGUAGGCGGUCAGUGCAAGUCAGUUGUGAAAUCUCCGAGCUUAACUCGGAAAGGUCAACUGAUACUGCUCGACUAGAGUGCGGAAGGGGCAACUGGAAUUCUUGGUGUAGCGGUGAAAUGCGUAGAUAUCAAGAGGAACACCUGCGGCGAAGGCGGGUUGCUGGGCCGACACUGACGCUGAGGCGCGAAAGCUAGGGGAGCGAACGGGAUUAGAUACCCCGGUAGUCCUAGCCUUAAACGAUGAAUGCUUGGUGUCUGGGGUUAUAAAGUCCCCGGGUGCCGUCGCUAACGCUUUAAGCAUUCCGCCUGGGGAGUACGGUCGCAAGACUG
This 373-nucleotide ribosomal RNA is filed under the name uncultured bacterium. RNAcentral's name for it is "bacterial SSU rRNA". It matches the Rfam family "Bacterial small subunit ribosomal RNA", at positions 527 to 896 of the family's 1533-position model. The record is from RNAcentral.